ACCUGGCUAGCUCAGUCGGUAGAGCAUGAGACUUAUAAUCUCAGGGUUGUGAGUUCUGAGCCCCACGUUAGGUG
This is a non-coding RNA of Oncorhynchus nerka (sockeye salmon), 74 nucleotides long. The record is from the annotation of a RefSeq genome assembly. Lineage: Eukaryota; Metazoa; Chordata; Actinopteri; Salmoniformes; Salmonidae.